RNAcentral lists this unclassified non-coding RNA (275 nucleotides) under Hevea brasiliensis (rubber tree). The record is from RNAcentral. Lineage: Eukaryota; Viridiplantae; Streptophyta; Magnoliopsida; Malpighiales; Euphorbiaceae.
CAACAGCUGAAUGAAAAACAGAACGAAGAUCCUUCCCAACAAUAUGAUGCUCAUUCACAUGAACCCUCUGGAGAGGAUCAUGUGAAUGAAAAGGAGGGUGCACAUAGAAAAGGGCGCAACCGGGGUCGGGGAAAGGGACGCGGGAGGGCUCAAUACCAUCAAAAUAACCGUGGAAAUCAUGUGGGAACUCCCCCUUCAAAUAAUCCAGUCAUUGGUGAGCAGCCAGGUAUGGGGAAGCAACCCCCGGGGCCCCGUAUGCCAGAUGGCACAAGAGG